Molecule: ribosomal RNA, 267 nt
Filed under: uncultured bacterium
Lineage: Bacteria
Description: partial 16S ribosomal RNA
Rfam family: Bacterial small subunit ribosomal RNA
Source: RNAcentral
GUCCACGCCGUAAACGAUGGUCACUAGGUGUGUGUGGUAUCGACCCCGCACGUGCCGCAGCUAACGCAAUAAGUGACCCGCCUGGGGAGUACGGCCGCAAGGUUGAAACUCAAAGGAAUUGACGGGGGCCCCGCACAAGCGGUGGAGCAUGUGGAUUAAUACGUCACUAACCGUAGAACCUUACCCAGGCUUGACAUCUAGGGAAUCCCCCUGAAAGGGGGGAGUGCUCGCAAGAGAGCCCUAAGACAGGUGUUGCAUGGCUGUCGU